Molecule: ribosomal RNA, 606 nt
Filed under: Neisseria zoodegmatis
Lineage: Bacteria; Pseudomonadati; Pseudomonadota; Betaproteobacteria; Neisseriales; Neisseriaceae
Description: bacterial SSU rRNA
Rfam family: Bacterial small subunit ribosomal RNA
Source: RNAcentral
AGUCGGACGGCAGCACAGAGAAGCUUGCUUCUUGGGUGGCGAGUGGCGAACGGGUGAGUAAUGCAUCGGAACGUACCGAGUAGUGGGGGAUAACUGUCCGAAAGGAUGGCUAAUACCGCAUACGCUUUGAGAAGGAAAGCAGGGGCUCUUCGGACCUUGCGCUAUUCGAGCGGCCGAUGUCUGAUUAGCUGGUUGGUGGGGUAAAGGCCUACCAAGGCGACGAUCAGUAGCGGGUCUGAGAGGAUGAUCCGCCACACUGGGACUGAGACACGGCCCAGACUCCUACGGGAGGCAGCAGUGGGGAAUUUUGGACAAUGGGCGCAAGCCUGAUCCAGCCAUGCCGCGUGUCUGAAGAAGGCCUUCGGGUUGUAAAGGACUUUUGUCAGGGAAGAAAAGGUUGUGGUUAAUACCCAUGACUGAUGACGGUACCUGAAGAAUAAGCACCGGCUAACUACGUGCCAGCAGCCGCGGUAAUACGUAGGGUGCGAGCGUUAAUCGGAAUUACUGGGCGUAAAGCGGGCGCAGACGGUUACUUAAGUCAGAUGUGAAAUCCCCGGGCUCAACCUGGGAACUGCGUUUGAAACUGGGUGACUAGAGUAUGUCAGA